This is a long non-coding RNA of Suncus etruscus (white-toothed pygmy shrew), 481 nucleotides long. RefSeq lists it as uncharacterized. Lineage: Eukaryota; Metazoa; Chordata; Mammalia; Eulipotyphla; Soricidae. The transcript is spliced from 2 exons. The record is from RefSeq and is a predicted model, not a curated record.
UGGUGGAGGUGAUGGAGUUUUGAUGGUGGAGAUCGUGAUGGUGGAGGCCUCCCUGGGGGUACCCCUGAGUCAGACUCCAACCCCUCUUUGAAUUUCUCUGUUGACCUCAGACCAGCGACACUGUGUGGUGCCAUGACAAGCCUGAGCCUUCCCUAGGAUUGGGUUCCUUUGUAGGAUCCCAAGUGACACCCACGCCAGACAUUUCUCCUGGGGUCUUUACCUACUAAGCCCCAGACUCUGGGGGGCAUUCUAGAGGGUCAAGCGAUGCCCUAGGAGGGCUGAACCAGAUACCCACCUGUCCCGCCAUGUCUAGUUCCUCUAGCUGUGUGCUUUCCACGCCUGUUGGAUUAACUGGGUGAAAUCUUACUUAGUAUACCCUUGUUAUUCAUUGGUUGGAAACACCUUUCAAUGGAGCACCUUGGAUUGGUGUUGAGACCACUUGUUCUCUACGCCAGGAUGUAGUUUGGUUCUUUCUAAUAAA